Molecule: ribosomal RNA, 497 nt
Filed under: uncultured bacterium
Lineage: Bacteria
Description: partial 16S ribosomal RNA
Rfam family: Bacterial small subunit ribosomal RNA
Source: RNAcentral
GAUGAACGCUGGCGGCGUGCCUAAUACAUGCAAGUCGAGCGAACAGACGAGGAGCUUGCUCCUCGGACGUGAGCGGCGGACGGGUGAGUAACACGUGUAUAACCUACCUAUAAGACUGGGAAAACUUCGGGAAACCGGAGCUAAUACCGGAGAAGAUAUUGAACCGCAUGGUUCAAUAGUGAAAGACGGUGUUUCUGUCACGUAUAGAUGGAUCCGCGCCGCAUGAGAUAGUUGGUAAGUUAACGGCUUACCAAGGCAACGAUGCGUAAACGACCUGAGAGGGUGAUCGCCCACACUGGAGCUGAGACACGGUCCAGACUACUACGGGACGCAGCAGUAGGGAAUCUUCCGCAAUGGGCGAAAGCCUGACGGAGUAACGCCGAGUGAGUGAUGACGGUCUUCGGAUCGUAAAAAUCUGUUAUUAGUGAAGAACAAAUUUGUAAGUAACUAUGCACGUCUUGACGGUACCUAAUCAGAAAGCCACGGCUAACUACGUG